CCUACGGGUGGCAGCAGUGGGGAAUAUUGGACAAUGGGCGAAAGCCUGAUCCAGCCAUGCCGCGUGUGUGAAGAAGGCCUUCGGGUUGUAAAGCACUUUCAGUGGGGAAGAAAGCCUUGGGGCUAAUACCCUCGAGGAAGGACAUCACCCACAGAAGAAGCACCGGCUAACUCCGUGCCAGCAGCCGCGGUAAUACGGAGGGUGCGAGCGUUAAUCGGAAUUACUGGGCGUAAAGCGCGCGUAGGCGGUCUGAUAAGCCGGUUGUGAAAGCCCCGGGCUCAACCCGGGAACGGCAUCCGGAACUGUCAGGCUAGAGUGCAGGAGAGGAAGGUAGAAUUCCCGGUGUAGCGGUGAAAUGCGUAGAGAUCGGGAGGAAUACCAGUGGCGAAGGCGGCCUUCUGGACUGACACUGACGCUGAGGUGCGAAAGCGUGGGUAGCAAACAGGAUUAGAUACCCCUGUAGUC
This 465-nucleotide ribosomal RNA is filed under the name Vreelandella stevensii. RNAcentral's name for it is "partial 16S ribosomal RNA". It matches the Rfam family "Bacterial small subunit ribosomal RNA", at positions 338 to 795 of the family's 1533-position model. Lineage: Bacteria; Pseudomonadati; Pseudomonadota; Gammaproteobacteria; Oceanospirillales; Halomonadaceae. The record is from RNAcentral.